Molecule: ribosomal RNA, 2663 nt
Filed under: Mastigamoeba simplex
Lineage: Eukaryota; Evosea; Mastigamoebida; Mastigamoebidae
Description: partial small subunit ribosomal RNA
Rfam family: Eukaryotic small subunit ribosomal RNA
Source: RNAcentral
UAGUCAUAUGCUUGUGUUCAAGAUUAAGCCAUGCAUGCCUAAGUACAGGUAGCAAAACCGAAACUGCGGAUGGCUCAUUAUAACAGUUAUUAUUGAAAUAGUGAAUCAUUGGAAUUAAAGGAGUUAAAUCCUUGACAACCAAUAAAAUAUAAAUGGAUAACCCUGCUAAUCGUAGAGCUAAUACAUGAAGUCAAGACUCGAAUGACAAUGGGAAUUUUAUGAAAUGAAUCCAUAGAGAAUAAAAAGCCAAAACUUCGGCAACCCAAAACCACAUUUAAUGUAAUGAAAAAGAUUAAAUGGGGUUGGAUCAAAGGGAAUUAAAUUAUAAAAUAAACCAUAUACUAUAGAGUCGCAUUUGUCAGCAAAGCGAAAUUAAGGGGGUAAUUUUUAAUUAUUUAGAAAUAAAUAAUUAAAGAUUACUUUUUCAAGAAGACGAAGACAUGCUAAUGUGGGGUAGAAGUUGAAAAACACCUGCAGGACAUGAGGAUAAAAACUGACAGCUGGAUGAGGGGAACCUUGGGGGAAGAGAAUAAGCUGAAAAGUAAAAAGCCVRUURUUAYGAGACUUGAGUCAAAUCAAGGGGUAAUAAUAAAAUGACUAAAGCCUGAGGACCACAGCUGAAAAUUAAACCAGUCUUCAAGUGAGAUAGGACAAAGGAGCAAAUUGCAAUGAAAAAUUAAGUGGAGACAUUUAAUUGGCAAUACACUAGAGAAAUUUCUGACCUAUCAACUAGAUGGUAGGAUAGGGGCCUACCAUGGUAUUUACGGGUAACGAGGAAUUAGGGUUCGAUUUCGGAGAGGUGGCCUGGGAAACGGCGACCACUUCCAAGGAAGGCAGCAGGCGCGUAAAUUACUCGGUGCCAAUACGGCGAGGUAGUAACGACAAAUACCAAUGCCUUACCUUAUUUUCAAUAAGGAGGCAAUUGGAAUGGGCACAAUGUAAAGAGGUGUGCGAGUAACGAUUGGAGGGAAAGUCUGGUGCCAGCAGCCGCGGUAAUUCCAGCUCCAAGAGUGUAUACUAAAGUUGUUGCGGUUAAAAAGCUCGUAGUCUAUAUUAGAGAUUUUAGAGUUCUUAUUGUAAAAUAAGGAUUCUUUUAAUAUUUUAUAAUAUUAAGAUUUUUAUUUAAAAAUAUUAUUUAAAUUUUAAAAGAGUAAAAUCUAAUAUAAUUUAAAUAAUAUUUAAUAUAAAGAUCAAAUCUCUUUUUGAAUUUGGAUUAGUUAUUACAAUUCUUAAAUGAAAUUGUAAUUAUAACUUAAUUAGAUUAAAGAUUACUUUAAUUUAAUUUGAGGAAACUACCAAAUCAAUUACUUUGAGUAAAAUAAAAUGUUCAAAGCAGGUAAAUAAAAGCCUGAAUAUAUUAGCAUAGGAUAAUAAGAAAACAAAAGAGGGGAGGAUUUAUACCAAAUAGAACAACAGACCUCAAGUUUGCUGAUUGGUUUCUUGAGAAUGCUUUUUAAAAUUCUAAUAUUAAUUAAGAAAUUAAUUAAUAAAUUUUAAAAAGAACAGAGAAAAUUCUUUUAAAACAAGAUUAAAAAUGUUGUUUUAGAAUCAAUCUCUCUUAAAUUAAAUACAAGUGAUUAAUAGGAACAGUUGGGGUGGUUUAUAUUUAAUAGCGAGAGGUGAAAUUCUAUGACCUAUUCAAGAUAAACUAAAGCGAAAGCAUUCCACAAGGAUGUUUUCAUUGAUCAAGAACGAAAGUUGGGGGAUCGAAGACGAUCAGAUACCGUCGUAGUCUCAACUAUAAACGAUGCCGACCAGGGAUUGAAGUUAGUUGUAAAGAAAGAUAUUUGAAAUCCGCAAGGAUUUUAAAUAUUUUUUUAAAUUAUUUAAUUGAACUCCUUCAGCACCUCAGAGAGAAAUCAAAGAGUGUUUGGGCUUCGGGGGAAGUAUGGUCGCAAGGCUGAAACUUAAAGGAAUCGACGGAAGGACACACCAGGAGUGGAGCCUGCGGCUCAAUUUGACUCAACACGGGGAAACUUACCAGGUCCAGACAGUAGGAGGAUAGACAGAUUGAGAGCUCUUUCUUGAUUUGCUGGGUGGUGGUGCAUGGCCGUUCUUAGUUGGUGGUGUGAAUUGUCUGGUCAAUUCCGAUAACGAACGAGACCUUAACAUGAUAAAUAAGUUUAAUUAAGGGGUGAAAUAGGGGUAACUCUAUUUUAAAACUUAAUAAUAAAAAUUAUUAUAAUGAAUAAUUAUAAUAAUAUAAACUUCUUAAAGGGACUAUUUGUGUUUAAAACCAGCGAAUGGAAGUUUGAGGCAAUAACAGGUCUGUGAUGCCCUUUGAUGUCCUGGGCUGCACGCGCGCUACGAUGAUUGAAACAAAGAGUAACAAUUAAAUUCAUUAAUUAUUAAGUAAAAUUAAUAAAUAAUAAAUUUAAUAUCCUGGGUUGAAAAAUUCCGGGGAAACAUUAGAAAGUCAAUCAUGAUGGGGAUAGAUCAUUGCAAUUAUUGGUCUUGAACGAGGAAUUCCUCGUAAGUACGAGUCAACAGCUCGUGCUGAAUACGUCCCUGCCCUUUGUACACACCGCCCGUCGCUCCUACCGAUUGGAUGAUCCGGUGAAAAUUCUGGAAGUAAGGAAAUAGAAUAGUAAAAUAUUUUGUUUUCUGCUGAAAUUAUUUAAACCUUAUUAUCUAGAGGAAGGAGAAGUCGUAACAAGGUAUCC